Molecule: transfer RNA, 68 nt
Filed under: Pentacheles validus
Lineage: Eukaryota; Metazoa; Arthropoda; Malacostraca; Decapoda; Polychelidae
Description: tRNA-Cys
Rfam family: tRNA
About the family: Transfer RNA (tRNA) molecules are approximately 80 nucleotides in length. Their secondary structure includes four short double-helical elements and three loops (D, anti-codon, and T loops).
Source: RNAcentral
GGCUCUAUAGUGGAAAGAAAGAUAUUAGAUUGCAAAUCUGAAGAUGUGUUUAAAUGGCACUAGGGCUU